This is a non-coding RNA of Pelobates cultripes (western spadefoot toad), 381 nucleotides long. The record is from the annotation of a GenBank genome assembly. NCBI's taxonomy places the organism in Eukaryota, Metazoa, Chordata, Amphibia, Anura, Pelobatidae.
CAGCGCUGUAAUGGCGCGACCGGGCCCCUUUAAAAAAAUUGCGGCUACACCGCAAGUGCUGCUGGGAGGAAGUGACGGCCGGUCACUUCCUCCCAGCUUACUCCGCGCGGGGGGAGAGGGAGAGGAAAGGACAGGACAGGGGAGGACACCACACCAGAGACAUCUGCUCCCAUCAUCCCCAGCCACCAUCCUGCAACUUAAAGGUAAGAUGAUGGCUGAUAAAUGAGGUGUGUGUGUCUGCAAGUAUGUAUGUGUGUGUGUGUAUGUCAGUAUGUCUGUAUGUAUGUGUGUAUGUGUCUAUCUAUCUGUAUGUGUGUGUGUAUGUCAGUAUGUAUAUAUGUCUGUUUGUCAGUAUGUAUGUAUGUCAGUAUAUAUGUCUGU